Molecule: ribosomal RNA, 253 nt
Filed under: uncultured bacterium
Lineage: Bacteria
Description: partial 16S ribosomal RNA
Rfam family: Bacterial small subunit ribosomal RNA
Source: RNAcentral
UACAGAGGGCCCGAGCGUUGUUCGGAUUCACUGGGCGUAAAGGGUGCGUAGGUGGUGGGGUAAGUCUGGUGUGAAAGCUCGCAGCUCAACUGCGAAACGGCACUGGAAACUACCCUGCUGGAGGGUUGGAGGGGGGACUGGAAUACUUGGUGUAGCAGUGAAAUGCGUAGAUAUCAAGUGGAACACCAGUGGCGAAGGCGAGUCCCUGGACAACUCCUGACACUGAGGCACGAAAGCCAGGGGAGCAAACAGG